RNAcentral lists this ribosomal RNA (468 nucleotides) under uncultured bacterium. RNAcentral describes it as "partial 16S ribosomal RNA". It matches the Rfam family "Bacterial small subunit ribosomal RNA", at positions 28 to 507 of the family's 1533-position model. The record is from RNAcentral.
GACGAACGCUGGCGGCGUGCUUAACACAUGCAAGUCGAACGGAAAGGCCCUGCUUUUGUUGGUUGCUCGAUUGGCGAACGGGUGAGUAACACGUGAGUAACCUGCCCUUGUCUUUGUGAUAACUCCAGGAAACUGGGGCUAAUAUCGGAUAGGAUCUUCUGCUGCAUGGUGGUGGUUGGAAAGUUUCGGCGGUUGGGGAUAGACUCGCAGGUUAUCAGCUUGUUGGUGGGGUAGUGGCUUACCAAGGCUUCGACGGGUAGCCGGCAUGAGAGGGUGACCGGGCACAUUGGGCCUACGAUACGGCGCAGACUCCUACGGGAGGCAGCAGUGGGGAAUAUUGCACAGUGGGCGGACGCCUGAUACAGAGACGCCGCGUGCGGGAUGACGGCCUUCGGGUUGUAAACAGCUUUCGACUGAGACGAAGAGUGAGUGACGGUACUGGGUAAAGAAGCACCGGCUAACUACGUG